AGAGUUUGAUCAUGGCUCAGGACGAACGCUGGCGGCGUGCUUAACACAUGCAAGUCGAGCGGAAAGGCCCUUCGGGGUACUCGAGCGGCGAACGGGUGAGUAACACGUGAGCAACCUGCCCCUGGCUCUGGGAUAGCUCCGGGAAACCGGGAUUAAUACCGGAUAUGACCUGCUUAGGCAUCUUCGCGGGUGUAAAGGGU
This 200-nucleotide ribosomal RNA is filed under the name uncultured bacterium. RNAcentral's name for it is "partial 16S ribosomal RNA". It matches the Rfam family "Bacterial small subunit ribosomal RNA", at positions 8 to 210 of the family's 1533-position model. The record is from RNAcentral.